Xenia sp. Carnegie-2017 is the source of this 195-nucleotide long non-coding RNA. RefSeq lists it as uncharacterized. The record is from RefSeq and is a predicted model, not a curated record. The transcript is spliced from 2 exons. Lineage: Eukaryota; Metazoa; Cnidaria; Anthozoa; Malacalcyonacea; Xeniidae.
GGAAAUGAGAAAGGGCUUAUUGGAGACGGUACUGCUGGAAGAUAUUUCUCCAUUUCACUUCUAACCUAAAAGGAAAUAAACAAGAUCAAUUGGGACCAAUUCUACGUGUUUCAGUCAAAUUUUGGAAAUAUAUGACAGUUUCAAGUCAUUGUUCAAAUGAUGUGUAUUGCGAAAAAGUGUAAUUGGAUAAUGAAG